UACGUAGGGGGCAAGCGAUAUCCGGAUUUACUGGGUGUAAAGGGAGCGUAGACGGCAGUGCAAGUCUGGAGUGAAAGGCGGGGGCUCAACCCCCGGACUGCUCUGAAAACUGUACGGCUGGAGUGCAGGAGAGGUAAGUGGAAUUCCUAGUGUAGCGGUGAAAUGCGUAGAUAUUAGGAGGAACACCAGUGGCGAAGGCGGCUUACUGGACUGUAACUGACGUUGAGGCUCGAAAGCGUGGGGAGCAAACAGG
RNAcentral lists this ribosomal RNA (253 nucleotides) under uncultured bacterium. RNAcentral's name for it is "partial 16S ribosomal RNA". It matches the Rfam family "Bacterial small subunit ribosomal RNA", at positions 524 to 776 of the family's 1533-position model. The record is from RNAcentral.